UGCUAACACCCGCAGUAUUUUUGUUAGCCACCGUCUGUCUGCCCCGCAGAAAGACAAACUUCAGCUCGAGUUCCGGCUGUGUCGCUGUCAACGUCUCCCGGCCUCUCCGCGUCACUGAUGCAACUGACUCUCGGGGUUAGUUGUCGUUGCCACGUGUUAUUUGCGGGAUUCUUAAAAAAAAAAAAAACCGCCUCUUCAUGAAAUUGCUUAAGUACAACCGAGCGGUGGCCUUGUGCUCUCACAACCUAGCGAUAAAAGUGUCCCACAACUAUUUGUUAGUUUUUUUUUUUUUUUUUUUUUUUUUUUUUUUUUUUGGUUAUUACUUUUCUUUGCGAUGCACGCAGUCCUGUUCGGUGCCUUCAGCCAAGCAGAGUUGUUAAAAGACGAGUUAAUUUUCGCGGUCUGCAGAGAUUUUUGAAGGGCUCAAACUUGGGAAAGCGGAGAGAAAAGGCCCGGAGCUAUAAGAUGUAAUUGCUGUUAUUGGUACCAGGCCUGUGGGAAGGAUGGAGGGAGGCGUUUGUUUCAUCUGGACAAUUGCUUAGGUAUGCACAUGCUUCACAUUGGGAAGCCAGAGCUGGUGUCUUCCUCUGCCUCUUUCAGCCUCAGUCCCUUGAGACUGGGGGUCAGGGGAGCAUCCUGAACCUGAAGUUUGAGGGUUCUACAGUCAGGCUCUCUGGAUCAACCCAUCAACUCUGGGGUUAGAGGCACCCACAACCAUGCCUUGCUUUUACAUAGGAAUGGGACUCCCGACCUCACACAUACCGAGGGAGUACUCCACCAUGGCUUCAGCAGCUCGGCCUGCCCUGCCUCUGUGCUUACUCCUUUGAAGGCACCAAGUCCCCCAAAACCUGGGAACAGCAGCAGGCACUGAGAGGAGCUAGGACAGUGAUUCUCAACCUUCCUAAUGCUGUGACCCUUUAACAUGGUUCCUCAUGUUGUGGGAAAAAAAUUUAUUUUUGCUGCUCCUUCAUUACUGUAAUGUUGCUACUGUCAUGAAUCACAAAGCAAAUAUCUGGUAUGCAGGAUAUCUGAUAAGUGACCCCUGUGAAAGUGUCAUUCGUUCCACUAAAGGGCUCCUGACCCACAGGCUGAGAACUGCUGAGCCCAGGACUGCUCAGGACUUCCUGCCCAUCACAGUGAGGGAAAAGAGGUGAGAACCAGUGUCACAUAGCACAUUCUACCCCAGCCAUUCUCAGCAGCAUGAGUUCCAGGUGAGCCUGGUAUACAUGAGUUCAAAGGCAGCCAGAGCUACAUAACAAAGACCCUGUCUCAAAAAACUGACAAAGCAGGAAAGAUUGGCCAGGCUCCUAAGGAUGAGGCAGAGGGAUGGCUUGAGUUUAAACUAAGGCCAAGCCUGGACAACACAGUGAGAUGCUGUACAAAAAUUAAACGCAUAAAGCUAGCGCUAUAUUUACCUUAACAAAAAAUAAAAUUCAUUUUAAUAAAUGUAGGCCGGGCAGUAGUGGCACAUGCCUUUAAUCCCAGUACUUGAAAGGCAGAGGCAGGUGGAGCUCUGUGAGUUCAAGGCCAGUCUCAUCUACAUAAGUUUCAGGACAGCCAGGGCUAUCCCCUCUCCGAUCCCUGAAAAAAAAUUUUUUUUUUAAUUCACGGAAGUAUAUUCUAAUGGUACUGUAAGGGGUGUGACACCAUGUUCUAGAAGGAGGCACAAAGAAUUGUAUGAUGUUGGAGUAAGGAAAGUCUUUCCAAUUAGAACCAGAAAUGAUAGAGAUAUAAAUAUGUGUUUAUAUUGUGUGGGUGUAGGGUAUGGGAGGGACCUGGGUGACAGUCAGGACACAGUUUGGUUCUCCCCUUCAGUUGACCAGCUUACCAGCAAGCACUCCACCUACUAGAGAGCCAGCACAAGGUACACAUUUUUAUGAGCAAUUCACUUUAGAAAAAAAAUUAAAUUAUGUUGGAUAGAAGGAAAAAAUGCAGAAUGUUUUAAAAAGCAGAGCCAGUCAUAUGGUACAUCCCAUAAGCCCAGCACUCAGGAGGCUGAGGUGGGACACACCUGAGACCAAGGCCGCUGUAUAGAGAGACCUUGUCGAAAACCAUUUCUGUUUGCUCCUUUUCUCAAACGCCAGGAAAGCAGAGUAAAUGGUUAUAGCACACCUGAGACACAGACUCAGAGAAGACGCCAUUCAGCUGCAAGAAGGGACAGUCCGGUGUUAGGUGAGGCAGGGGCUGGAGAAAUGAUGGGGUGGGUGCAGGCUCUUGCUGCUCUCAAAGAGGAUUUGGUUCAACUCUUAGCACCUUUACCACAAGGCUCAGAGCUGCCUCAGUCCAGCUCCGUAGGAUAUGAAGCCCUCUUCUGCCUCCUCAGGCACUGGGGGACAUGCAUGUUCUCUCACACACACAAAUGAACCUCCAGGUUAGAAGUUUACAAAAAUAAUUAACAAAAAGAAUCCAAAUAACCAAAAAAAUACAGAGAAGGACAUAAUUUGCUGUCGCUGUAUGACAGAGGAAUCAGCCUGACUCAUCAAUUAACAAUGGUAACACAAUCUGAACAGUUAGUUGUUUGGUGACUUCGUUAUGCAGGCAUCAUUCAGGGCUCAUCCAGAGUGGAUAUGACGUCCCUUGGUCACUAGGCCACUCUUGGUUUUUGUGUUUUGUUUUUUUUGUUUUUUUUAAAGACCAGAGCUCCUAUGUACCCCUGGGUUGGUCUAAAACUCACUACAUAGGCCAGGCUGGUCUGGAACUCAGAAGUGUGUCUGCCUCUGUCUUUGGUGCUGGGAUUAAAGGUGUGUAGCACCACACAUGGCAAGGCUAUUCCAUCUUAAGAAACCACCAUUUUUUUCUAUGUGUGCUACACCACAUGGCCCAGGACUGUCUGUGCACACACAAACAAAACAUGCACACGUUGUAAAGACAGUACAAAGACACUUUUCAUAAAGUGUUUGAUUUCCUACAUAUUUUAGGAUGAGCCUCAAGAAAAUAUUGAGGGUGGCUACCUCAGGAGGUAAGGAGGUGGAAGGCGGGACUGGGGCCUAUACCACACUGCCACGUCACAUCACUGCUAUGACUGAGUAGUAACCCGUUGUAUGGAUUACACGUUAUGCAAGUCUCUGACUAUCAGACGUGCAGGCCUGGUUCCUAAUUAUUAUAGAUCUGUACAAUCUCCUGAUCAAAGAUCUGAAAUGAGACUCUGUGUGUGUUUAAGGCUUUCCAUUCAGGGUUCAGGGGUGGUUAACCAUUAGCCGGUGUGCACCCCUAAUGGCACUGGAGACUAAUUAUUCAUUGCUUCUUACCGGAACAAAUGCUGCCACAGCCUGGGAGAGGGUGGCCAGAUGUGAAUAAAAAAAACCAUACACAUUUAUCUUGAUGCAGAUCAUUUUUUUACAGGCCAAGCAUUAUGAUGUGUGAAAAUAGGGCUGGGUUGUUUUCAUCAAAAAUGAAUUAAUGUGUGGGUAAAGUUAGUACACCCUUGAAAGGAAGGAACUUGGUUAAGAGAAGGCUUUUCCAGUCCCAUGGUGUGUUUGUAAAUGGGAGUGAUCUCAAUUGUCUCCACAGGGUGUCCUGUAAAAGCCAAGGCAAUUCCUUUGUAUUUCCUUUUGUUUUUUGUUUUUGAGACAGGGUUUCUUUGUAUAACAGCACUGGCUAUCCUGGCACUGACUUUGUAGACCAAGCUGGCCUCCAACUCACAGAGAUCCACCUGCCUCUGCCUGCCGAGUGCUGUGAUCAAAGGUGUGUGCCAACACCAUCCGGUCCUUCAUUUUUUCUUGAAAGGCAGAAAUGCUUAUUCCCUUCCAAGCUUCAUGAAUAAAUGUAGGGUUUUUUGUAUUUAUCUAAUUGCUUAUUGCAGUGUUGGGGGUUGAACCCAGUACUUGCCGUGCUAGGCAAGCAGUGACUAUUGAGCGACACCUCAACCUUAACAAGCUUGAUUUUUAAAACUCUGGCAUCUGCUACAUAUUACUUAACUAUACCCGAUGUACAAAGACAGGUAUAUUCUGUUUUAGUUUUACAUUUCAGAGGUCCUUUAACGUAUAUAAACGUAAUACGUAUAUAUAACGUAUAAUGUAUAUAUAUAACAUACAAAACUGUACCAGUUUUAAAGAGAAGAAAGCAUUCCCUUUCUUGUUAGACAGAUGUUCACGUAUCCCAGGCUGGCCUGAAACUCCCUUAGGUGGCUGGGGGGACCUUCAACCUCUGAUCCCCCUGCCUCUCUAUCGCUAGGUCUGCAGACCUGCUUUACCUAGGGAUCAAGUUCAGGACUCCAUGCAUGAAAGCAAGCAAGUAUUAAGAGCGCUGCAGGAAUUAUAGGUGCACACCAUUGCAUUAGGAUGGGUUCUGGGGGAUCAAACUCAGGUCAAGCAAGUGCACCAAGCACUUUUGCCCAUCAAGCCAUCUCUCCAUCUCGAGAGGGGAAUCUUCAUUAAAUGGAAAGACAUUACUUUUGGGAGACAGGGCCUUACUGUACCGCUCUGUCUGGCCUGGAACUCAACAGAGACCCUCCACCUGCCUCUGCCCCUGAGUGCUGGGAAUAAAGAUGUGCACCACUA
Molecule: non-coding RNA, 4499 nt
Organism: Cricetulus griseus (Chinese hamster)
Lineage: Eukaryota; Metazoa; Chordata; Mammalia; Rodentia; Cricetidae
Source: RefSeq, a predicted model, not a curated record